RNAcentral lists this ribosomal RNA (254 nucleotides) under uncultured prokaryote. RNAcentral describes it as "partial 16S ribosomal RNA". It matches the Rfam family "Bacterial small subunit ribosomal RNA", at positions 524 to 777 of the family's 1533-position model. The record is from RNAcentral.
UACGGAGGAUGCGAGCGUUAUCCGGAUUUAUUGGGUUUAAAGGGUGCGUAGGCGGCUUUUUAAGUCAGCGGUGAAAUUUUGCAGCUUAACUGUAACAGUGCCGCUGACACUGGGGAGCUAGGAUUUGGUUGCUGUGGGUGGAAUGUGUGGUGUAGCGGUGAAAUGCUUAGAGAUCACACAGAAUAUCGAUUGCGAAGGCAGCUCACAAAGCCAAGAUUGACGCUGAGGCACGAAAGUGUGGGGAUCAAACAGGA